This 253-nucleotide ribosomal RNA is filed under the name uncultured bacterium. RNAcentral describes it as "partial 16S ribosomal RNA". It matches the Rfam family "Bacterial small subunit ribosomal RNA", at positions 524 to 776 of the family's 1533-position model. The record is from RNAcentral.
UACGUAGGGGGCUAGCGUUGUCCGGAAUCAUUGGGCGUAAAGAGCGUGUAGGCGGCUCGGUAAGUCCGCUGUAAAAGUCAAAGGCUCAACCUUUGAAUGUCAGUGGAUACUGCCGGGCUAGAGUCCGGAAGAGGCGAGUGGAACUCCUGGUGUAGCGGUGGAAUGCGUAGAGAUCCGGAAGAACACCGGUGGCGAAGGCGGUCUGCUGGGGUCGAACUGACGCUGAGGCGCGACAGCGUGGGGAGCAAACAGG